AUUGAACGCUGGCGGCGUGCCUAACACAUGCAAGUCGAGCGGUAACAGGUGUAGCAAUACAUGCUGACGAGCGGCGAACGGGUGAGUAAUGCUUCGGAAUCUGCCCAUGUAGUGGGGAAUAACCAGCCGAAAGGUUGGCUAAUACCGCAUACGACCCUUGCCCACAAGGCAAAGGUGAAAGCAGGGGAUCGCAAGACCUUGCGCUAUUGGAUGAGCCGAAGUCGGAUUAGCUAGUUGGUAGGGUAACGGCCUACCAAGGCGACGAUCCGUAGCUGGUCUGAGAGGACGACCAGCCACACUGGGACUGAGACACGGCCCAGACUCCUACGGGAGGCAGCAGUGGGGAAUAUUGGACAAUGGGGCAACCCUGAUCCAGCGACGCGCGUGUGUGAAGAAGGCCUGCGGGUUGUAAAGCACUUUUAGUGGGGAUGAAAAGCCGAGUGCUAAUAUCAUUCGGUCUUGACGUUACUUAC
This 473-nucleotide ribosomal RNA is filed under the name uncultured bacterium. RNAcentral describes it as "bacterial SSU rRNA". It matches the Rfam family "Bacterial small subunit ribosomal RNA", at positions 30 to 482 of the family's 1533-position model. The record is from RNAcentral.